ACACGUAGGGGGCGAGCGUUGUUCGGAAUCAUUGGGCGUAAAGGGCGCGCAGGCGGCGAGGCAAGUCCGGUGUGAAAGUGCUCGGCUCAACCGAGUGAUGCGCUGGAAACUGCCCUGCUUGAGUACAGGAGGGGACGUCGGAAUUCCAGGUGUAGGGGUGAAAUCUGUAGAUAUCUGGAAGAACACCGGUGGCGAAGGCGGACGUCUGGCCAUGUACUGACGCUGAGGCGCGAAGGUGCGGGGAGCGAACAGGUUUAGAUGCCCUGGUAGUCCGCACAGUAAACGAUGUGCACCAGGUGGCGGGGGGUAGCCCUCGGUACCGAAGCCAACGCAUUAAGUGCACCGCCUGGGGAGUAUGCUCGCAAGGGUGAAACUCAAAUGAAUUGACGGGG
This 392-nucleotide ribosomal RNA is filed under the name uncultured bacterium. RNAcentral's name for it is "partial 16S ribosomal RNA". It matches the Rfam family "Bacterial small subunit ribosomal RNA", at positions 523 to 918 of the family's 1533-position model. The record is from RNAcentral.